RNAcentral lists this ribosomal RNA (497 nucleotides) under uncultured bacterium. RNAcentral's name for it is "partial 16S ribosomal RNA". It matches the Rfam family "Bacterial small subunit ribosomal RNA", at positions 28 to 507 of the family's 1533-position model. The record is from RNAcentral.
GACGAACGCUGGCGGCGUGCCUAAUACAUGCAAGUAGAACGCUGAAGAGAGGAGCUUGCUCUUCUUGGAUGAGUUGCGAACGGGUGAGUAACGCGUAGGUAACCUGCCUUGUAGCGGGGGAUAACUAUUGGAAACGAUAGCUAAUACCGCAUAACAAUGGAUGACACAUGUCAUUUAUUUGAAAGGGGCAAUUGCUCCACUACAAGAUGGACCUGCGUUGUAUUAGCUAGUAGGUGAGGUAAUGGCUCACCUAGGCGACGAUACAUAGCCGACCUGAGAGGGUGAUCGGCCAAACUGGGACUGGGGCACGGCCCAGACUCCUACGGGAGGCAGCAGUAGGGAAUCUUCGGCAAUGGGGGCAACCCUGACCGAGCAACGCCGCGUGAGUGAAGAAGGUUUUCGGAUCGUAAAGCUCUGUUGUAAGUCAAGAACGGGUGUGAGAGUGGAAAGUUCACACUGUGACGGUAGCUUAACAGAAAGGGACGGCUAACUACGUG